Phyllopteryx taeniolatus (common seadragon) is the source of this 918-nucleotide long non-coding RNA. RefSeq lists it as uncharacterized. The record is from RefSeq and is a predicted model, not a curated record. NCBI's taxonomy places the organism in Eukaryota, Metazoa, Chordata, Actinopteri, Syngnathiformes, Syngnathidae. The transcript has 3 exons.
UGCAGGUGGUUGGAACAUCCUGGCAGAGGAAGGGAAGGACACACACUAACAAGGGGGAUGAACCAAAAGGGUGGACCACCCACCCAUCCAUCUUCUAAUGCUUAUCCUCUUCAGUGGUUGAGCUGAAACCUCAAACCAGAUGUUUUGUUGUUUUUUUCCAUCCAGACGCAUCUUUGUGUCCCUUGAGAUUUGCUUGAUAAAUCGAAGCGACAACAAUGGCUCGAUUUAGAAGUUUAAUUUGGCUUCGUAACCAUGCUUGUGACGCGCCUUGGACGACAGCGGGCGGUACAAUACAGACACUUAUAAUAAAUGAAGAAGAGUUUCACAACUAAGUGACUCAGUAUGCUGCAGUAAUAGAAGUCUACACAGAGGAUAAGUACUAUAUGCCUAGGCCUGUUCCUCAGUCAGUUGUGUCAACAAUGCAAAUCCUCAAAAGAGACUUCCAACAGCGCAGAUCAUCUUUUCUCCAUUCGAACAUCUUUGGUGGCGCAAAAGAAAGAUUUCUCUCUUUCGGAUCCAAACCUACGCUGUAUGGAAAAAUGAGAAGGGGGGCAAAAGUCUUCAUCCCUCACUUAAUCAACUAAUUAGCAAAAAGAAGCUGAGAUGGGAAUUGUUCAUCACCCUCUGAAACUGAACUGAAGAGCGGACGGAGAGACACCUCAACAUUCCACCAAACUUUUCCACUUUCCUUGUUCUCAUCGUGUGCUCAUCAUUGAUCGGGCAGGAAGGCGCAGAGAAGCGUAAAAAGGACAGAAAUAUUUUUUCCAGCUCCAAUCAACACAAGCAAUAAAUGACUAAAUAACACAACCAGUGAAGAAGUGAAUUUUGCACGCCUGUGUAUUGUGGUGAAACUGAAUGUCAUUUCGGGUCUUGAAGGAAGAAUGUUUUUUUAAUACAAAAAUGGAGCAGCUAUAGCUG